AUGAACGCUGGCGGCGUGCCUAAUACAUGCAAGUCGAGCGAACAGACGAGGAGCUUGCUCCUCUGACGUUAGCGGCGGACGGGUGAGUAACACGUGGAUAACCUACCUAUAAGACUGGGAUAACUUCGGGAAACCGGAGCUAAUACCGGAUAAUAUAUUGAACCGCAUGGUUCAAUAGUGAAAGACGGUUUUGCUGUCACUUAUAGAUGGAUCCGCGCCGCAUUAGCUAGUUGGUAAGGUAACGGCUUACCAAGGCAACGAUGCGUAGCCGACCUGAGAGGGUGAUCGGCCACACUGGAACUGAGACACGGUCCAGACUCCUACGGGAGGCAGCAGUAGGGAAUCAUCCGCAAUGGGCGAAAGCCUGACGGAGCAACGCCGCGUGAGUGAUGAAGGUCUUCGGAUCGUAAAACUCUGUUAUUAGGGAAGAACAAAUGUGUAAGUAACUAUGCACGUCUUGACGGUACCUAAUCAGAAAGCCACGGCUA
RNAcentral lists this ribosomal RNA (488 nucleotides) under uncultured bacterium. Its description in RNAcentral is "partial 16S ribosomal RNA". It matches the Rfam family "Bacterial small subunit ribosomal RNA", at positions 29 to 499 of the family's 1533-position model. The record is from RNAcentral.